RNAcentral lists this ribosomal RNA (636 nucleotides) under Triticum aestivum (bread wheat). RNAcentral describes it as "partial small subunit ribosomal RNA". The record is from RNAcentral. Lineage: Eukaryota; Viridiplantae; Streptophyta; Magnoliopsida; Poales; Poaceae.
AUGAGUUGUUUGGUAUGGAACUGUCGCGGGCUUGGGAACCCGGAGACAGUUCGAGAGAUUCACAACAUAGUGAGGCUAGAAGCGCCUGCGUUGGUCUUUGUGUGUGAGACGAAGAUUGAUGGGAAGAGAGUUGGUGAAUUGACUACCAGGUUGGGUUUUGCUGGUUGUGUGCCCGUAAGCAGUGUAGGCUUAAGUGGCGGUUUGGCUUUGUUUUGGUCUCAUGAAGUGGAUGUGACGGUAAAUAAUGUUUCCUCACAACAUAUUGAUGUUAAAGUUGAAAAUAUAGGAGGGGAUAGAAAGACAUGGCAUUUUACUGGCUUCUAUGCCAAAGCAAGAAGGAGUGAGAGAUCUAUGAGUUGGGAUCUGUUACGUUGGUUGCAUGGUCAGUCUGAUUUACCGUGGCUUUGCGCAGGAGAUUUCAAUGAAAUUCUUGAUAACUCAGAGUAUUUUGGUGCAAAUGAAAGGGUUGAAUGGCAGAUGGAAGGAUUUCGGUCAGUAAUUGAUUAUUGUCAGUUUCAGGACUUGGGGUACUCAGGGAUCCCGUACACUUGGGACAAUAUGCAGGAGGGUGUUGACAAUGUGAAAGUACGGCUGGACCGUUUUUUUGGCGGAUCAAGCUUUUAUACAAUUAUAUGA